Molecule: long non-coding RNA, 333 nt
Organism: Gavialis gangeticus (Gharial)
Lineage: Eukaryota; Metazoa; Chordata; Crocodylia; Gavialidae
Exons: 3
Source: RefSeq, a predicted model, not a curated record
GUUAAAAUAUAAAAUACUAAAAGCUAAGUACAGACAGUCAAAAAGACCAAGGCUGAAUCUACUUAAUCUUUGCAGGUUAGUUUUAAGCUAUGUAGAUUGAACCUGUAAGCGAGUGAACAAACAUUCACUUUUAAUUCUGGAAAUGCAGCCACAUGCCUGCAGUGGGGGUGGCCAGAAGCUGGGGUGUGCUAGAGCACACUUCUCUGUUUGACUGAAGCAGACAGUUUGGGGCAAGACCCACCUGACCACCCUGUGAGUGGGGGUUUGCAAGGGAUGUGCAAAGCAUCCUGGGAUGCUGGGGGGCUCUGAGUUGACUUGAAUUUGGAAUGGAUC